ACCAAGGCUUGACAUAUACCGGAAAGCAUCAGAGAUGGUGCCCCCCUUGUGGUCGGUAUACAGGUGGUGCAUGGCUGUCGUCAGCUCGUGUCGUGAGUUGUUGGGUUAAGUCCCGCAACGAGCGCAACCCUUGUUCUGUGUUGCCAGCAUGCCCUUCGGGGUGAUGGGGACUCACAGGAGACUGCCGGGGUCAACUCGGAGGAA
This 204-nucleotide ribosomal RNA is filed under the name uncultured bacterium. Its description in RNAcentral is "partial 16S ribosomal RNA". It matches the Rfam family "Bacterial small subunit ribosomal RNA", at positions 973 to 1171 of the family's 1533-position model. The record is from RNAcentral.